Molecule: RNA transcript, 2734 nt
Organism: Myxocyprinus asiaticus (Chinese sucker)
Lineage: Eukaryota; Metazoa; Chordata; Actinopteri; Cypriniformes; Catostomidae
Exons: 2
Source: RefSeq, a predicted model, not a curated record
CUGCAGGUGGCGUUGUGGCAAGUAAUGCACAUGAGAUUAACUGCAACUCAAAGACAUAUGAAGACGAUUUGGACACGAAUUAUGGCUGGCAAAUGCUCGGUGCGCUCAGUCACUCCUUGCUCCAGCCGCUGUACCUCAGACAUAGAGUUACAGCUGAACAGGAGAAGCAGCAGCAGAUGGAAAAUGGUAGAGGACAUCUGUACCUCAGGACCAGGUUUAGGACACAGUGAAAGUUCCCACCAAUCCACAAAUUCAGCACUAUGGAUGCUGUAAAUUAAGAGGGUACACUUCUUAAGCUGUCUACUUGCUGUAUUAAACUAUCAGAUGAUAUCUGUGCAAAACUUGCAACUAUUCGAGAAGAAACAAAAGAUUUAGACAGUGAAGGAAGCCUACAACCUAACAGAAGGUUACUGGUGUUGUAGUACCAGAAAUUCCUGCAGAUCCUGAUAUACACCAGUCAGCCACAACAUUAAAACCACCUACCUACUAUUGUGUAGGUCCCCCUCGUGCCGCCAAAACAGCGCCAACCCGCAUCUCAGAAUGGCAUUCUGAGAUGAUAUUCUUCUCACCACAAUUGUACAUAGCGGUUAUCUGAGUUACCGUAGACUUUGUCAUUUCGAACCAGUCUGACCAUUCUCUGUUGACCUCUCUCAUCAACAAGGCAUUUCCAUCUGCAGAACUGCCCCUCACUGGAUGUUUUUUGUUUUUGGCACCAUUCUAGAGACUGUUGUGUGUGAAAAUCCCAGGAGAUCAGCUGUUAUUAGAAUAUUAGACUAUUGCACUUCAGGGAAAGAAUAUGAUGAUUUUGAUAUGCAAAUGAUCAAUUAACACAUUAACAAUGUACUGCCGUUGCUUUGUUAAUAUGUAAUCACGUAAUCUAUAAAAAGUAACUGUAGUCCAAUAGUCUGUAGUCCGAUUGAGUAUUUCAAAAUGUAAUUAAAUCUGAAUACAAGUACUUGAUUUUGUAAUCUGAUUACGCAAUACAGAUUACAUUUAAUUCGCUACUACCCAGCACUUUCCAUGUUAGAUUGUAAUAAGGCAGAAAGUAAGCAUGAGAGGUGUAAAAAAAAAAAACAGGAUUGCCACUGUCACGUUGUUUGCUACAUGCUCCAUGCUACACCCCAAACCAAAGCCUAAUCUGUCACAUUGUCUCAGACCCCAGGGUACUGCCAACUGUUUACAGCUUGCAAUUUAUUAUACUACUAACUUUUAUUACCAUUCCUGUGCCACCAUCCACCUCUUCGUACAGUGAAGCAAAGCUGCCAAAGCCUAAAUAAAAAAAUAAAAAAAAACAAGGAUCUGUCACCUUUUACAGUGUGCAUGUGUAUGUGCAUGUGUACAGGAAUUCAUGGCUCUAACUCAUACAGUAUGGAUCAAGUCUCAUCAUUGGUGAUAUACGCUCUGAAACCUUCCACUCAACUGCACGAAAUGAAAUUCCCGACUGUUGCAUUUCAUAAGAUGCUGACACUGCCAUAUGGGUCUGAUAUUUAUGUGGAAACCAGUGCAGCUCACACUUUAACUACUUACACAUAUUUAUAUUUGGUGUCUUUCUUGUGCCAUAUUGGAAAUGUCAAACAUUUCUGUUUUACAGUAAUGAGAAUGAGAUUUGCACAUUACAGUAAAGAGUAUUUGAGGGGACAAUGUUCUUAAUUGUCAUGAAAUAAAUGUCACAAUGCAAAAUAAAUAAAUAAUAAUUGUACUAAAAAUAGGUUUCAUUUUCACAAAAUAUAAUGUGACCUGGACAUUUCACCCAAAUUAAUAUAGUAAUCAAUCAGUACCAUGGUAUAUAUCAAAGUACCAUGGUAUUACCAUCUGAUACCAUCACAGUGCUAUGGUACCGCUACAGUAAUUCUUUGUAAUGGCCUUUUUCCUGUUCAUAAAGUAUUUCUAAAUGAUGCAUUUGUACAUCUAUGGAUAUGUGUGUGCGUACUCACCCAGAGUGUUCAGUAGGUUAGAUCUCAUCAGGAAUUUCUCCUGGCUGUGAAAGCUAAUUACCCUAAAUUGAGCAGCACCAGUGCAGACACAGAUGAACCCAAGGGCCUGCUUUGCAUUUUUCAAAUUAAGAGGGCUUCACUUUUCCUUGUGUCUGUGUGGUCAUUAGGGGAAGGGUUUAUGGGAAAAGAAAUUGAACACAGAGCAAGUCAUAUCAAAGCACAGGCCUAAUUCACUUAAAUUUCAGAGAACAAGACAAAUUGAAUCUGGUGCACAAGCUUAAUAUGAAUCAUGUUUUUGGAAAUGCAAAAAGGUUUCUGUGAGGGUUAGAUUUAGGGGUAGGGAAUAGAAAUUAUUGUUAUAUCUGUAUAAAAUCCAUAAAAUGCAUGAGUCCCCACAAUGUUAUAAAAACAAGUUUGUGUGUGUGUGUUGUGGCCAGAAUGUUGUAAUGCAACAGUCUUCAAAAGGGAUAGUUCACCUUUCACUUUAAUUGCAUCUUUUUCCAUACAAUGAAAGUGAAUGUUGACUAAGACUAACACUCUGCCUAACAUCUCCUUUUUUGUUGCACAGAAGAAAGAAAGCCAUAUGGGUUUGGAACAACAUGAGGGGGAGUAAAUGAUAAUGAAAGAGUUGUCAUUUUUUUGGUGAACUAUCUCUUUAGUAAAGAGCAAGGAGGUGGUGUAGAUGGAGAUAAUUGUAUCCUCUACCCCUCCCCAGUUGUCCACUGUGGCAUAGCGCAGAUGGUCUGAUGUUAGAAAGCCACAUUACUCUGUAUAUUUGUUUUAAUCUUGAGUGCCUCUGU